Molecule: ribosomal RNA, 461 nt
Filed under: uncultured bacterium
Lineage: Bacteria
Description: partial 16S ribosomal RNA
Rfam family: Bacterial small subunit ribosomal RNA
Source: RNAcentral
GACGAACGCUGGCGGCGUGCUUAACACAUGCAAGUCGAACGGAAAGGCCCUUCGGGGUACUCGAGUGGCGAAAGGGUGAGUAACACGUGGGUGAUCUGCCCUGCACUUUGGGAUAAGCCUGGGAAACUGGGUCUAAUACCGAAUAGGACUACGAGCUUCAUGGUGUGUGGUGGAAAGCUUUUGCGGUGUAGGAUGGGCCCGCGGCCUAUCAGCUUGUUGGUGGGGUAAUGACCUACCAAGGCGACGAGGGGUAGCCGGCCUGAGAGGGUGACCGGCCACACUGGGACUGGGAUGCGGCCCAGGCGCCUACGGGGGGCAGCAGGGGAGAAUAUUGCACAAUGGGCGCAAGCCUGAUGCAGCGACGCCGCGUGAGGGAUGACGGCCUUCGGGUUGAAAACCUCUUUCACCAGGGACGAAGCGUAAGUGACGGUACCUGGAGAAGAAGCACCGGCCAACUACGU